Molecule: ribosomal RNA, 1524 nt
Filed under: Salmonella enterica
Lineage: Bacteria; Pseudomonadati; Pseudomonadota; Gammaproteobacteria; Enterobacterales; Enterobacteriaceae
Also listed under: 8 other names
Description: bacterial SSU rRNA
Rfam family: Bacterial small subunit ribosomal RNA
Source: RNAcentral
AAAUUGAAGAGUUUGAUCAUGGCUCAGAUUGAACGCUGGCGGCAGGCCUAACACAUGCAAGUCGAACGGUAACAGGAAGCAGCUUGCUGCUUUGCUGACGAGUGGCGGACGGGUGAGUAAUGUCUGGGAAACUGCCUGAUGGAGGGGGAUAACUACUGGAAACGGUGGCUAAUACCGCAUAACGUCGCAAGACCAAAGAGGGGGACCUUCGGGCCUCUUGCCAUCAGAUGUGCCCAGAUGGGAUUAGCUUGUUGGUGAGGUAACGGCUCACCAAGGCGACGAUCCCUAGCUGGUCUGAGAGGAUGACCAGCCACACUGGAACUGAGACACGGUCCAGACUCCUACGGGAGGCAGCAGUGGGGAAUAUUGCACAAUGGGCGCAAGCCUGAUGCAGCCAUGCCGCGUGUAUGAAGAAGGCCUUCGGGUUGUAAAGUACUUUCAGCGGGGAGGAAGGUGUUGUGGUUAAUAACCGCAGCAAUUGACGUUACCCGCAGAAGAAGCACCGGCUAACUCCGUGCCAGCAGCCGCGGUAAUACGGAGGGUGCAAGCGUUAAUCGGAAUUACUGGGCGUAAAGCGCACGCAGGCGGUCUGUCAAGUCGGAUGUGAAAUCCCCGGGCUCAACCUGGGAACUGCAUUCGAAACUGGCAGGCUUGAGUCUUGUAGAGGGGGGUAGAAUUCCAGGUGUAGCGGUGAAAUGCGUAGAGAUCUGGAGGAAUACCGGUGGCGAAGGCGGCCCCCUGGACAAAGACUGACGCUCAGGUGCGAAAGCGUGGGGAGCAAACAGGAUUAGAUACCCUGGUAGUCCACGCCGUAAACGAUGUCUACUUGGAGGUUGUGCCCUUGAGGCGUGGCUUCCGGAGCUAACGCGUUAAGUAGACCGCCUGGGGAGUACGGCCGCAAGGUUAAAACUCAAAUGAAUUGACGGGGGCCCGCACAAGCGGUGGAGCAUGUGGUUUAAUUCGAUGCAACGCGAAGAACCUUACCUGGUCUUGACAUCCACGGAAGAAUUCAGAGAUGGAUUUGUGCCUUCGGGAACCGUGAGACAGGUGCUGCAUGGCUGUCGUCAGCUCGUGUUGUGAAAUGUUGGGUUAAGUCCCGCAACGAGCGCAACCCUUAUCCUUUGUUGCCAGCGGUCCGGCCGGGAACUCAAAGGAGACUGCCAGUGAUAAACUGGAGGAAGGUGGGGAUGACGUCAAGUCAUCAUGGCCCUUACGACCAGGGCUACACACGUGCUACAAUGGCGCAUACAAAGAGAAGCGACCUCGCGAGAGCAAGCGGACCUCAUAAAGUGCGUCGUAGUCCGGAUUGGAGUCUGCAACUCGACUCCAUGAAGUCGGAAUCGCUAGUAAUCGUGGAUCAGAAUGCCACGGUGAAUACGUUCCCGGGCCUUGUACACACCGCCCGUCACACCAUGGGAGUGGGUUGCAAAAGAAGUAGGUAGCUUAACCUUCGGGAGGGCGCUUACCACUUUGUGAUUCAUGACUGGGGUGAAGUCGUAACAAGGUAACCGUAGGGGAACCUGC